Molecule: RNA transcript, 2109 nt
Organism: Homalodisca vitripennis (glassy-winged sharpshooter)
Lineage: Eukaryota; Metazoa; Arthropoda; Insecta; Hemiptera; Cicadellidae
Gene name: probable RNA helicase SDE3
Exons: 13
Source: RefSeq, a predicted model, not a curated record
UUGGCUGGAAAUCAGUCGAAGUAGGCUCAGUCCACCAGUUCCAGGGCAAAGAGAAAUUGGUUGUGAUAAUCUCUACAGUGAGAUCAUCCAGUAAAAGUAAUCCUUCAAUGAAGAACUCGCUGGGAUUCCUUACAAAUCCUAAGCAAUUUAAUGUGGCAGUAACACGUGCUAGAGCCCUGCUAAUCGUAGUGGGGAACCCCUGCACACUGAGUAGAGACCGAUGCUGGAAUCAGCUGUUGACUUAUUGUCAACAGAACAGUUCAACUAUCGGUGUCCAAAACUUAUCUUAGGAUGCGGUUUGAGCAAUUUAAUGUGGCAGUAACACGUGCUAGAGCCCUGCUAAUCGUAGUGGGGAACCCCUGCACACUGAGUAGAGACCGAUGCUGGAAUCAGCUGUUGACUUAUUGUCAACAGAACAGUUCAACUAUCGGUGUCCAAAACUUAUCUUAGGAUGCGGUUUGAGGUGAAUACAUUCCGUGAGAAAUUCUCUUCUCUUGGCUGGAAAUCAGUCGAAGUAGGCUCAGUCCACCAGUUCCAGGGCAAAGAGAAAUUGGUUGUGAUAAUCUCUACAGUGAGAUCAUCCAGUAAAAGUAAUCCUUCAAUGAAGAACUCGCUGGGAUUCCUUACAAAUCCUAAGCAAUUUAAUGUGGCAGUAACACGUGCUAGAGCCCUGCUAAUCGUAGUGGGGAACCCCUGCACACUGAGUAGAGACCGAUGCUGGAAUCAGCUGUUGACUUAUUGUCAACAGAACAGUUCAACUAUCGGUGUCCAAAACUUAUCUUAGGAUGCGGUUUGAGGUGAAUACAUUCCGUGAGAAAUUCUCUUCUCUUGGCUGGAAAUCAGUCGAAGUAGGCUCAGUCCACCAGUUCCAGGGCAAAGAGAAAUUGGUUGUGAUAAUCUCUACAGUGAGAUCAUCCAGUAAAAGUAAUCCUUCAAUGAAGAACUCGCUGGGAUUCCUUACAAAUCCUAAGCAAUUUAAUGUGGCAGUAACACGUGCUAGAGCCCUGCUAAUCGUAGUGGGGAACCCCUGCACACUGAGUAGAGACCGAUGCUGGAAUCAGCUGUUGACUUAUUGUCAACAGAACAGUUCAACUAUCGGUGUCCAAAACUUAUCUUAGGAUGCGGUUUGAGGUGAAUACAUUCCGUGAGAAAUUCUCUUCUCUUGGCUGGAAAUCAGUCGAAGUAGGCUCAGUCCACCAGUUCCAGGGCAAAGAGAAAUUGGUUGUGAUAAUCUCUACAGUGAGAUCAUCCAGUAAAAGUAAUCCUUCAAUGAAGAACUCGCUGGGAUUCCUUACAAAUCCUAAGCAAUUUAAUGUGGCAGUAACACGUGCUAGAGCCCUGCUAAUCGUAGUGGGGAACCCCUGCACACUGAGUAGAGACCGAUGCUGGAAUCAGCUGUUGACUUAUUGUCAACAGAACAGUUCAACUAUCGGUGUCCAAAACUUAUCUUAGGAUGCGGUUUGAGGUGAAUACAUUCCGUGAGAAAUUCUCUUCUCUUGGCUGGAAAUCAGUCGAAGUAGGCUCAGUCCACCAGUUCCAGGGCAAAGAGAAAUUGGUUGUGAUAAUCUCUACAGUGAGAUCAUCCAGUAAAAGUAAUCCUUCAAUGAAGAACUCGCUGGGAUUCCUUACAAAUCCUAAGCAAUUUAAUGUGGCAGUAACACGUGCUAGAGCCCUGCUAAUCGUAGUGGGGAACCCCUGCACACUGAGUAGAGACCGAUGCUGGAAUCAGCUGUUGACUUAUUGUCAACAGAACAGUUCAACUAUCGGUGUCCAAAACUUAUCUUAGGAUGCGGUUUGAGGUGAAUACAUUCCGUGAGAAAUUCUCUUCUCUUGGCUGGAAAUCAGUCGAAGUAGGCUCAGUCCACCAGUUCCAGGGCAAAGAGAAAUUGGUUGUGAUAAUCUCUACAGUGAGAUCAUCCAGUAAAAGUAAUCCUUCAAUGAAGAACUCGCUGGGAUUCCUUACAAAUCCUAAGCAAUUUAAUGUGGCAGUAACACGUGCUAGAGCCCUGCUAAUCGUAGUGGGGAACCCCUGCACACUGAGUAGAGACCGAUGCUGGAAUCAGCUGUUGACUUAUUGUCAACAGAACAGUUCAAAUAUCGGUGUCCAAA